GGCCUAACACAUGCAAGUCGAACGGCAGCACAGCAGUAGCAAUACUGUGGGUGGCGAGUGGCGGACGGGUGAGGAAUACAUCGGGAUCUACCUUUUCGUGGGGGAUAACGUAGGGAAACUUACGCUAAUACCGCAUACGCCCUACGGGGGAAAGCGGCGGACCGCAAGGCGUCGCGCGAUAAGAUGAACCGAUGUCCGAUUAGCUAGUUGGCGGGGUAAAGGCCCACCAAGGCGACGAUCGAUAGCUGGUCUGAGAGGACGGCCAGCCACACUGGAACUGAGAAACGGUCCAGACUCCUACGGGAGGCAGCAGUGAGGAAUUUUGCGCAAUGGGCGAAAGCCUGACGCAGCAACGCCGCGUGGGGGAUGAAGGCUCUCGGGUUGUAAACCCCUUUUCUUGGGGAAGAUAAUGACGGUACCCAAGGAAUAAGUCACGGCAAACUACGUGCC
RNAcentral lists this ribosomal RNA (450 nucleotides) under uncultured bacterium. RNAcentral's name for it is "bacterial SSU rRNA". It matches the Rfam family "Bacterial small subunit ribosomal RNA", at positions 45 to 509 of the family's 1533-position model. The record is from RNAcentral.